AAUACAGAGGUCUCAAGCGUUGUUCGGAUUCAUUGGGCGUAAAGGGUGCGUAGGUGGCGCGCUAAGUCAGGUGUGAAAUUUCGGAGCUUAACUCCGAAACUGCAUUUGAUACUGGCGAGCUUGAGGACUGGAGAGGAGACUGGAAUUCACGGUGUAGCAGUGAAAUGCGUAGAUAUCGUGAGGAAGACCAGUGGCGAAGGCGGGUCUCUGGACAGUUCCUGACACUGAGGCACGAAGGCCAGGGGAGCAAACGG
This 254-nucleotide ribosomal RNA is filed under the name uncultured prokaryote. RNAcentral's name for it is "partial 16S ribosomal RNA". It matches the Rfam family "Bacterial small subunit ribosomal RNA", at positions 522 to 775 of the family's 1533-position model. The record is from RNAcentral.